RNAcentral lists this ribosomal RNA (393 nucleotides) under uncultured bacterium. Its description in RNAcentral is "bacterial SSU rRNA". It matches the Rfam family "Bacterial small subunit ribosomal RNA", at positions 28 to 443 of the family's 1533-position model. The record is from RNAcentral.
GAUGAACGCUGGCGGUCUGCUUAACACAUGCAAGUCGAACGAACUCUUCGGUAGUGAGUGGCGGACGGGUGGAGUAACGCGUGAGAAUCUGCCUGUGGGUCGGGGACGAACCACUGGAAACGGUAGGCUAAUACCGGAUGAGCCGAAAGGUAAAAGAAUUUAUUGCCCACCAGAUGAGCUCGCGUCUGAUUAGCUAGUUGGUAAGGUAAAAGACGUACCAAGGCGACGAUCAGUAGCUGGUCUGAGAGGAUGAGCAGCCACACUGGGACUGAGACACGGCCCAGACUCCUACGGGAGGCAGCAGUGGGGAAUUUUUCCGCAAUGGGCGAAAGCCUGACGGAGCAAGACCGCGUGGGGGAGGAAGUUUUUGGAUCGUAAACCCUUUUGUCAAGG